CCUGGUGGCCAUAGCGAGGGGGAACCACCCGAUCCCAUCCCGAACUCGGAAGUGAAAACCCUCAGCGCCGAUGGUACUGCGUCUUAAGGCGUGGAAGAGUAGGACACUGCCAGGC
Molecule: ribosomal RNA, 115 nt
Filed under: Alphaproteobacteria bacterium
Lineage: Bacteria; Pseudomonadati; Pseudomonadota; Alphaproteobacteria
Source: RNAcentral